RNAcentral lists this ribosomal RNA (348 nucleotides) under uncultured bacterium. RNAcentral's name for it is "partial 16S ribosomal RNA". It matches the Rfam family "Bacterial small subunit ribosomal RNA", at positions 355 to 720 of the family's 1533-position model. The record is from RNAcentral.
UGGGGAAUAUUGGACAAUGGGGGCAACCCUGAUCCAGCAAUGCCGCGUGUGUGAAGAAGGUCUUCGGAUUGUAAAGCACUUUCGACGGGGACGAUGAUGACGGUACCCGUAGAAGAAGCCCCGGCUAACUUCGUGCCAGCAGCCGCGGUAAUACGAAGGGGGCUAGCGUUGCUCGGAAUGACUGGGCGUAAAGGGCGUGUAGGCGGUUUACACAGUCAGAUGUGAAAUCCCCGGGCUUAACCUGGGAGCUGCAUUUGAUACGUGUAGACUAGAGUGUGAGAGAGGGUUGUGGAAUUCCCAGUGUAGAGGUGAAAUUCGUAGAUAUUGGGAAGAACACCGGUGGCGAAG